Long non-coding RNA from Sycon ciliatum, 1930 nucleotides. RefSeq lists it as uncharacterized. The transcript has 3 exons. The record is from RefSeq and is a predicted model, not a curated record. NCBI's taxonomy places the organism in Eukaryota, Metazoa, Porifera, Calcarea, Leucosolenida, Sycettidae.
CUGUUUCAGGCAAAAACACAUGCACUCCUGAAUCUGGACAAUUUUGGGCGGAAGAGCGAAGCAGGUCAAAACCAAUCGCAUUUCCACCACCGCCUAAGACCACGGAGGUUAAAGUCACGGAUCUUGUGUGGACGUUCAACUUCAGCCACGAAUGCACGCUCUUCUUAGAGAAUAUAGAGUUUUCCUUCACUGGUGCUUGCACAUUCCAACUUCAAAAUCCAGAAUACGGCUGGGUGGGACUGAAUACCACAUCCGUGCAAAUUUCAGGGUCGUGGAAAUCAACUACCAUCGAUGUGAAUGAACGCACCGCCACUGUGAUGGGUCAACCGAAGGACACAAAUGAUGGCAGUCGAUACUUUACAGUCACUGCCAAAGGGAUUGAGAAUAUUGCAUGUGACGUUGAACGGCUCGUGUUGCGCACUACUGAUGUGGAUGAAUGUAAUUCCACCCGCCAAAGUGGUUACCUUUGUCCAUCGAACAAAACAUGUGUCAACAUGAUUGGGACUUACGGUUGCUGCAGUAGAGAUGGAGAUCGUGAAGACCGUGAUAACUCGCCUAUUGUCCCGGAUAACCGACAUUACCGUCCGUGUACUUCGCAGACCACUGCAUCCAUCACAGAAACAAGACCUUUAAGCAAAGCUCGGACAAUCGGUAAGAAUGACACACAUGGGACCACUGCUGUCAUCCCAGAAACAAGACCUACAUCCAGAGCUCGGACUACCGGUGGAUUCGUCUCCAUUUCGACCUUCGCCAUCUCUAUCAGUCUUGUAGUGAUCGUCUCUGUGCUCAUCAUCUCAAUUCUGAUAGCUCAGCUGAAGAGAAAAUAUACCAAAGCAGCCCACGUAUGUAUUCAAACUGGAGGUUUACAGAACACGGUGGGAACAGCUGGCAGUAACGCCCUAUCCCUAACAUGCAAUGACGCCUAUGGUACGACGACGUCUGGAGUUCGACAAGAUCCUUCUCUGUACGAUACUAUACAGUAAUCUCUAUUCAUCAUUGCUCAGAAGCAGGACUGAGCUCUACAUGGAUCUACAUGUGCACUGAUAGCAUAGUGACGUUUGGUGUACAUUGUACAUGUGCAUGUGUAUUGUAACUAUGCUUGUAAAUUUGAAUAUUUUUCCAUACUUCAAAGUCCUUUUUGAAUACUGUUCAUACUUUACCACACUCAUUGUCACGCUUCUAUUCGCUUCCUUCUUGCGCAUCUUCCUCGCACGGUGCUGUUGUUACCUCAAUAUGAGGUAUUCCAUUCCUUUCUCUAUGCUAUUCUAGAGCUUUGUUGCAUUGAAUUCUUUUAGGAGCAUUCAGGUUUCACAAAAUCCGGCAUGUUUUCUCAUCGUUUCGUAGAUAUCAACAUUUUGAAACAUGCAUACAACACAACAUAGAUGUAUGUCACUCUGAGCUUAGGCUCUUGUCGAUGCCAAUACUUUAAUUAAUUAAGCUAAGAGAACGAGUCUAGCUCUAAAAGACAUGUUAUAUUUUGUGUGUAGCCAGGUUCGAAAGAUGAAGCCAAUACGUUUGUAACAGCCUGCAUGACGCCCUCGUUUUUAAUUAUUGUUGUUAUUCGAUCUACUCCCCCUUUUAUUUUGCAGUAGGCAUACAAGAUAAUGUUAGUAUACUUGUACAUGUAUUUGAGAUAUUAGCAGUCUGUGCAUUUUUAUAAAGGUAGUUCGCGGCUCCUUUCGUACUUUUUUAGCAGGUAUUAUUCACAAGAGGGUUUUCAGCAUCGUGAUUCUCCACGAUAUCUUGUGGUCUUCGGAGUACUAUUGCUUCAAGGGCGUUUCAUCGCUCUUGUAUCUUGCUUGCUGUGCUCUUCUCGUUUUGGUUGAAUCUAGCCCUACCCAUAAAUGCUUCCCGUCCACACAAGCGCUCAACUGUACAAAUGUUGAAGUUUCUACUUCACUUCAAUCAGCUUUCCAUGAGAAAAAAAGAU